CGCCCAGGCGCGGCCCAUGAAGCCGGGGUAGUCGUCGUCGUCGUCGUCCGCGAUGUCCAUGAGGUCAUCGUCCGUGUCGAGGUCCGCGCGCGACGCGGCGGCGGCGAAACGCCCCGCGCGGAGGCGGCGGCUCGAGGGACGUGACGCGAAAUGCGGGCUGCUCGCCGCCGCCGCCGUGGGGCGGCGUGACGCGCGGCGGGGCGCGAGCGUCGCGGUCGCGCGUCCGGCGGACGACCGGGGCGCGGCGCGUGAGACCGUCGCGGCGGUGCAAGAUGCGCGGGCGGUCGUCGUGGCGCUCAUCGUCCCACUUCACUCCCUCGGCGUUCGCCCUCGCGUCGGUGACGGGGGAGCCAACCCUUUCGCCACGUAAAGUGGAUAAAAAGCGAGAGCGGCUCGGGGCUCUUCGCGGAACGUCGGGUAAGGCGGAACCGGGUCCUGGAGUCGGGUCGUAACCGCGGCAGUCUCUUCGUUCGCACGAAAGAUACCGAGGGAGCCGGUGCGCGCGUCCCGAGGAAGGGGCGCCGCGAGUAGUGACGCGGCGUACCGGCCAUUUCCCCCAUUAGCCAAAAGUGCGGCGGGGACGAAACCGGAGUGCGGGACGCGAGCCAUCCAAAAAAAGGGUUCUGUUGUUGCUUUCGUCUCCGUGGAGC
Molecule: long non-coding RNA, 650 nt
Filed under: Micromonas commoda
Lineage: Eukaryota; Viridiplantae; Chlorophyta; Mamiellophyceae; Mamiellales; Mamiellaceae
Description: long non-coding RNA (MCOM_LNC000203)
Source: RNAcentral